GAUGAAGAACGUAGCGAAAUGCGAUAAUUAAUGUGAAUUGCAGAAUUCAGUGAAUCAUCGAAUCUUUGAACGCACCUUGCGCCCUUUGGACAUUCCGAAGGGCAUGCCUGUUUGAGUAUCAUGAACACCUCAACUCUCACGGCUUGUCCGUGAUGAGCUUGGACUUUGGGGGUCUUGCCGGCCUGUGGUCGGCUCCUCUCAAAUGGAUCAGCUUGCCAGUGUUUGGUGGCAUCACAGGUGUGAUAACUAUCUGCGCUUGUGGUUUUCCAUCAGAUAACCUUCAGUGAUAUGGAGGUUCGCUGGAGCUCACAAAUGUCUCUCCUUAGUGAGGACAGCUCUUUGAACGUUUGAUCUCAAAUCAGGUAGGACUACCCGCUGAACUUAAGCAUAUCAAUAAGCGGAGGA
This 405-nucleotide unclassified non-coding RNA is filed under the name soil metagenome. RNAcentral describes it as "partial contains 5.8S ribosomal RNA, internal transcribed spacer 2, and large subunit ribosomal RNA". The stretch from base 1 to 121 matches the Rfam family "5.8S ribosomal RNA", at positions 35 to 154 of the family's 154-position model. The record is from RNAcentral.